CACACACUGCCUAGCAGGAUCACAAGGAACAAGGUAUGAAUGUCAGAGGAGCUGAAUGAGGGCCCUUCACAGAGGCAUGAUAUAUUAGGAGCUGAACACACCUUUUUUUUGAAACAGAAUCUUUGUUCAUGGGAACUGCUAGUCUGCAUCCAUCUGCCACACUUAAACCCUGGACCCUGUGAAUAAUCACUGCUCGUUGAGUGCAGCUGAGGCAAAAUAGGCAUACAGCUCUGCAAACUUGUGCAUAACCAUCAGGUCGUGCCUUAGGCCAUUGAAACGAAGGGGUUAAUCUUUUCGCCGCGGUGAGUCACACGAUGUCCCCGCGUCCUCCGGGAAGUUAAACUCGCUUGACAGCGCUAAGGAGCUGCAGAACAAGCAUCGUUCCCUUUUGGCGCCCAACAAGAAAUCUCACCUCGAUGGAGAAACCUGUGCCUGAA
Lepidothrix coronata (blue-crowned manakin) is the source of this 437-nucleotide long non-coding RNA. RefSeq lists it as uncharacterized. The record is from RefSeq and is a predicted model, not a curated record. Lineage: Eukaryota; Metazoa; Chordata; Aves; Passeriformes; Pipridae. The transcript has 3 exons.